This 179-nucleotide ribosomal RNA is filed under the name uncultured Staphylococcus sp. RNAcentral's name for it is "partial 16S ribosomal RNA". It matches the Rfam family "Bacterial small subunit ribosomal RNA", at positions 161 to 334 of the family's 1533-position model. Lineage: Bacteria; Bacillati; Bacillota; Bacilli; Caryophanales; Staphylococcaceae. The record is from RNAcentral.
AGCUAAUACCGGAUAACAUGUUGAACCGCAUGGUUCAACAGUGAAAGACGGCCUUGCUGUCACUUAUAGAUGGAUCCGCGCCGCAUUAGCUAGUUGGUAAGGUAACGGCUUACCAAGGCAACGAUGCGUAGCCGACCUGAGAGGGUGAUCGGCCACACUGGAACUGAGACACGGUCCAG